This 73-nucleotide ribosomal RNA is filed under the name Acinetobacter baumannii. Its description in RNAcentral is "partial 16S ribosomal RNA". It matches the Rfam family "Bacterial small subunit ribosomal RNA", at positions 1 to 71 of the family's 1533-position model. The record is from RNAcentral. Lineage: Bacteria; Pseudomonadati; Pseudomonadota; Gammaproteobacteria; Moraxellales; Moraxellaceae. RNAcentral also lists the same sequence under 1 other name.
UUUAACUGAAGAGUUUGAUCAUGGCUCAGAUUGAACGCUGGCGGCAGGCUUAACACAUGCAAGUCGAGCGGGG